CCCGGGCGUGGUGGUGCAUGCCUGUAGUCCCAGCUACUCAGGAGGCUGAGGUGGGAGGUCUGCUUGAGCCCAGGAGUUCUGGGCUGUAGUGCGCUAUGCCGAUCGGGUGUCUACACUAAGUUCGGCAUCAAUAUGGUGACCUCCUGGGAGCGGGAGACCACCAGGUUGCCUAAGGAGGGCUGAACCGGCCCAGGACAGAAACGGAGCAGGUCAGAACUCCCGUGCUGAUCAGUAGUGGGAUCACGCCUGUGAAUAGCCACUGCACUGCAGCCUGGGCAACAUAGCGAGACCCACCCCC
This 298-nucleotide signal recognition particle RNA is filed under the name Saimiri boliviensis boliviensis (Bolivian squirrel monkey). RNAcentral's name for it is "Metazoan signal recognition particle RNA (ENSSBOG00000001978.1)". It matches the Rfam family "Metazoan signal recognition particle RNA". Rfam says of the family: The signal recognition particle (SRP) is a universally conserved ribonucleoprotein. It is involved in the co-translational targeting of proteins to membranes. Lineage: Eukaryota; Metazoa; Chordata; Mammalia; Primates; Cebidae. The record is from RNAcentral.